RNAcentral lists this ribosomal RNA (440 nucleotides) under uncultured bacterium. Its description in RNAcentral is "partial 16S ribosomal RNA". It matches the Rfam family "Bacterial small subunit ribosomal RNA", at positions 338 to 795 of the family's 1533-position model. The record is from RNAcentral.
CCUACGGGGGGCAGCAGUGGGGAAUAUUGCACAAUGGGGGAAACCCUGAUCCAGCAACGCCGCGUGAGUGAAGAAGUAUUUCGGUAUGUAAAGCUCUAUCAGCAGGGAAGAAAAUGACGGUACCUCAUUAAGAAUCCCCCGCUAACUACGUUCAAGCAGCCGCGGUAAUACGUAGGGGGGAAGCGUUAUCCGGAUUUAUUGGGGGUAAAGGGAGCGUAGACGGCGAUGCAAGUCUGAAGUGAAAGCCCGGGGCGCAACCCCGGGACUGCUUUUGAAACUGUAUGGCUGGAGUACUGGAGAGGCAAGCGGAAUUCCUAGUGUAGCGGUGAAAUGCGUAGAUAUUAGGAAGAACACCAGUGGCGAAGGCGGCUUGCUGGACAGCAACUGACGUUGAGGCGCGAAAGCGUGGGGAGCAAACAGGAUUAGAUACCCCUGUAGUC